CCUACGGGAGGCAGCAGUAAGGAAUAUUGGUCAAUGGAGGCAACUCUGAACCAGCCAUGCCGCGUGCAGGAAGACAGCCCUCUGGGUCGUAAACUGCUUUUAUUCGGGAAUAAACCUUAUUACGUGUAAUAGGCUGAAUGUACCGAAGGAAUAAGGAUCGGCUAACUCCGUGCCAGCAGCCGCGGUAAUACGGAGGAUCCAAGCGUUAUCCGGAUUUAUUGGGUUUAAAGGGUGCGUAGGCGGCUUAUUAAGUCAGGGGUGAAAGCGGUGGCUCAACCAUCGCAGUGCCUUUGAUACUGAUGAGCUUGAAUGAACUAGAGGUAGCGGAAUGUGACAAGUAGCGGUGAAAUGCAUAGAUAUGUCACAGAACACCGAUUGCGAAGGCAGCUUACUAUGGUUUUAAUUGACGCUGAGGCACGAAAGCGUGGGGAUCGAAACAGGAUUAGAUACCCUGGUAGUCCACGCCCUAAACGAUGAAUACUCGCUGUUAGCGAUAUACUAGUUAGUCGGCGUACGACGAAGACGUUAAGUUAAUUACCUACCGUACGGGGUAGGUACCGGCCCGCCGAAGGGUAGGAACGUACGAAAGAAGUAGUAGACGACGUAGAGACGACGACGACGACGACGACGGAGGGAGGAGG
RNAcentral lists this ribosomal RNA (641 nucleotides) under uncultured bacterium. RNAcentral describes it as "bacterial SSU rRNA". The stretch from base 1 to 539 matches the Rfam family "Bacterial small subunit ribosomal RNA", at positions 338 to 873 of the family's 1533-position model. The record is from RNAcentral.